Molecule: ribosomal RNA, 373 nt
Filed under: uncultured organism
Description: partial 16S ribosomal RNA
Rfam family: Bacterial small subunit ribosomal RNA
Source: RNAcentral
GUAGGUGGCAAGCGUUGUCCGGAAUUAUUGGGCGUAAAGCGCGCGCAGGCGGUUCUUUAAGUCUGUUGUGAAAGCCCACGGCUCAACCGUGGAGGGUCAUUGGAAACUGGAGAACUUGAGUACAGAAGAGGAAAGCGGAAUUCCACGUGUAGCGGUGAAAUGCGUAGAGAUGUGGAGGAACACCAGUGGCGAAGGCGGCUUUCUGGUCUGUAACUGACGCUGAGGCGCGAAAGCGUGGGGAGCAAACAGGGAUUAGAUACCCUGGUAGUCCACGCCGUAAACGAUGAGUGCUAAGUGUUAGGGGGUUUCCGCCCCCUUAGUGCUGCAGCUAACGCAUUAAGCACUCCGCCUGGGGAGUACGGCCGCAAGGCUG